UACGUAGGGGGCAAGCGUUGUCCGGAAUUAUUGGGCGUAAAGCGCGCGCAGGCGGCCUUGUAAGUCUGUUGUUUAAACUCGGGGCUCAACCCCGAGUCGCAAUGGAAACUGCAAAGCUUGAGUACAGAAGAGGAAAGUGGAAUUCCACGUGUAGCGGUGAAAUGCGUAGAGAUGUGGAGGAACACCAGUGGCGAAGGCGACUUUCUGGGCUGUAACUGACGCUGAGGCGCGAAAGCGUGGGGAGCAAACAGG
This 252-nucleotide ribosomal RNA is filed under the name uncultured bacterium. RNAcentral's name for it is "partial 16S ribosomal RNA". It matches the Rfam family "Bacterial small subunit ribosomal RNA", at positions 524 to 776 of the family's 1533-position model. RNAcentral also lists the same sequence under 1 other name. The record is from RNAcentral.